RNAcentral lists this transfer RNA (61 nucleotides) under Malayopython reticulatus (reticulated python). Its description in RNAcentral is "tRNA-Lys". Lineage: Eukaryota; Metazoa; Chordata; Lepidosauria; Squamata; Pythonidae. The record is from RNAcentral.
CAUCGAGAAGCUUCUAUAGCAUUAGCCUUUUAAGCUAAAGAUGAAAUAAAAUUCCUCGAUG